Molecule: long non-coding RNA, 3951 nt
Filed under: Homo sapiens (human)
Lineage: Eukaryota; Metazoa; Chordata; Mammalia; Primates; Hominidae
Description: HSALNT0378430
Source: RNAcentral
UUCAAGAUGAGAUUUGGGUGCAGACACAGCCAAAUCAUAUCAUAUCCUCUGUUUUCCAAAGAUCUUAUAUAAUUUAGUUCUACUUUAGAAAAAUUAAUCCAAUGAUAGUUGGCAGUAUAUACAGUUGUGUAAAAGAUGGGUAAUUUUUUGCAUACUCGUAAGAGUUCAGAAAAUUAAGAUAUAAGCUAUUGGUUAAGAGAGGGAAUAGCCUCUCUCAUUAUGACAAAAAUUAAUAGUUGAUUAUUUUUUUCAUAUAUGAUAAAAAUCUUAGUCCAUAUGUGUUUCAAUUUAAAAGACAUGAGAAGAUAAUAUGAUUUUUCCUCCAAAGUUGACUGGUUGGCUAUUAGACUGCAAAUCUCAUAAUAUAAUUACCUUGGUGGAAACAUAGUAAUUUAAAUAUUGGACAUUAGAUUUGCAGGUGCAGGAAAUCAAUUGUGUCAAUAUACAAAAAUUUUAUUAUACUAUUACAAUGAUUCACACUAAAAAUAUUUGGCGGGGAUUGAUAUAUAAAUAUACAUGGCAAUGUAUUAAUUUAUAAUGGUGGUGAUUUCUCUAACUACCUUCACCCCAGCUAUAUAUCAUAUAGUCAUAGUUGGAAACCACCGAGGAGGGUCACUCCAGCUGAGAGAGUCAAACUGUCAAGUCCCUACACUCUGACAUCACCCUGCUCAAAAGGGUUCUCCAUCUGCCGUUGCUCUCUUUUCUAUCGGUCAAUGCCUCAUGUAUAAGGAAACAUGAUCUUCUAUCAUUUACUGUACUGUUCUUCUCAAUGUUCUGCACUUGCUUUUUUUGGACUCAGCUGUCUACCAUAUCCUCAUCUUCAAAACUUUCCCACAGUAUUUUCUAGAACUAUCCAUCUAGAAUAAUAAUAAUAAUAAUAAAACCUAUCUUCAACUUCUACAUUGCCUGCCAUAAGUGAAACUUGACUCAUCUGAAGAUAUCACCUGUACUGUUUCCCUCUUAAUGCUGGUUGCUUAUUUUCGGACACACACACACACCCCUGGAUGGUGAGGUGGUAUUUCUGAACUCCCUAAACUGCAGUGGCACUUCUAGCAAUGAGACACCAUUCUCUUGUAAAACUAACAAAAAACACAUGCACAUACUGUAUUGGUUUGUUUUCAAAUUGCUAUAAAGAAAUACCUGAGACUGGGUAAUUUAUUAAAAAAAAAAAAAGAGGUUUCAUUGGCUCACGGUUCUGUAGCCUGUAUAGGAAGCACAGCAGCUUUUGCUUCUAGGGAGGCCUCAGGAAACUUACAAUCAUGGUGGAAAGCAAAGCGGAAGCAGGCACAUCUUAUAUGGCUGGAGUAGGAGCAAGGUGGUACAGAUGGAGCCACAUACAUGUAAACAGCCAGAUCUCUUGAGAACUCAUUCACCAUACAGUACCAAGAAGGGAUGGUGCUAAACCAUUCAUGAGAACUCUGCCUCCAUGAUCCAGUCCCCACGUCCAAAAAUUUGACUUAAGAUUUGGUGGGACACUAAUCCAACUCACCUACACACACACACACACACUCUCACACUAAACACAUUUGAGAUUCAUUUGAGAUUCAUGAAAUUUCACUAUACAAUUCCAACUGCUUUCUUACUGCUAUCAUCUAACUUCUGGUAAUUGGUUCACUAACAUAUCUUCAUCCAAAUUCUGUCACUGCCAUCCUUCAUGACGUAUGAACCCUCUAUGCUUAACAUACUUGUCUCCGAAGAAUCUGUCCUCUGCCCUGUCGUACAUCCGUAUCUCUCACACUAUGAAUUUUGUUAUAAAUGCAGAUUAUCUCUACUACAGAAUUGCUAAUUCAGUUAUUACACUCUCUGAGUACAACUUGCUUUCCUAGCUAUGGUCAUUUCUGUACUUCAGUGAGAGUCCCAGUUCAUGGCAUUUCCAAAUUCGUAGAGUUCUUUAGGCGUCUCAUUUUUGUUAUCAACAUUACUUUCUAAUCAUAAAUCUUGUUCAGAAUUUCUUGUUAACAACUUCUUUUCAUCAUUAUAUCAAAAGUGUCAAUUCUUCUCCGCGUAUUUUCAAACUUGAACUCAGCCUCCCAGUUCCCAGCCAAAGAACAAUCUUAUCUCUUCACAUAGAAAAUAUGAUAUCACCCUCAAUUUCUGCUUCCACCUAUACAAACCUAUCUACACUUACCUCUAUUUUGUCCUGCUUCCUUCUGCUUAAGCAUAGGUACUUGGGGACUGUUUCCUCUCACAUUCAAAGAAAUCUUUUCUUAUGUGAGUUCUCCAUUAUCUCCUAUCUAUUCGUCAACAUUCUCACAUUAAGAUCCUAAUUGUUCCAAGGAAAAUGUUUCUGCUUUUUUAGCUUUAUGGAUUUUCUACGUUGAUUCAUUUUCAUGUAAAUAGAAAGUGUGGGCUAAACUUUUAUCUACCUUAUUGAAUAUUAAGUAAACUAAAAUGCUUAAAAAGCGAUUUUUCAUACCGAAGAACUAAACUUUUCUCUGUACUUGGACACUUUGAUAAAUCAUAAUUGGUAGUUUACAGAUGGGAAGCUUACUUGCAAAUGUUCUAAAGAUGAAUGCUUCCUUUUGUAUGACAUUUUGAUAUAAAUUAAGAUCCAUGUGUUUCAUAUAUUGCUGAAAAAAAAAUAGUGUUAAAACAAUACUUCCUCUGCUGAAUAUAUGUGAAACUAUAUCUUUGAUUAGUGAUUCUGUCUCCUCUUCCACAGCAAAAAAUAACCCUCAAAUUUCUGUAAUUCUUUCCUGCUUCCUUUGCUUCUGCUAUGAAUGUUUUCUUAUGACACUGGAAAAAGUUUUAGUAGCUAACUAUAUAUAUUCACAUACAUACAUAUGUGUGUAUAUGUAUAUCUAUAUAUAUGUGCAUAUCAUGUGUACAUAUUUAUACAUACACAUUUAUAUCACAAUGACAGUAGAUAUAGCAUUAUAUGGCUCCUCUCCCACCUGUUAUUUUAGGAGCAGCUGUAAUUCUUAAAUAAGCGUUUAUUCUAUUGAUGUCCCCAGAGGUUGUCCCCAUUUGCGCCCAGGAACUCAUUCCUUACCCGUAAUGUAGCAUCUGCUGCUAUUUUUGUUUCUUAUUUUUCCUGUGAGGAGAUGCUGCAGGAACUACAGACCCAGGAAAUCAACUGUUAUGACUGACUCUCAAUUAAAAUCAGUGCCUGCCUCUGAGCUAUUGAUGAUUCUAAAAAGUACAGCAUCCACUACCAUUACUUCCUUAUGUAUAAGGGCUGUCACUCUUUAAGCAAAAUAAACAGAUUUUUGAGCAUCAUCUCUUUUUUGGAUCAUCAUUUUGCAAGUGGAGAUUCUAACAUCUCUACUCCUCUGCAAGAUGACCUCCUCCUGCAUGCACACAGCAGCCACUGGCUCAUAGCAGCCCGAGAGCCCCCAAAUCCCUCUGAAAAUUGCUGUGAAACAGAGGUUUGCCUCUCUUUCCUGAGAACCAGAAUGAGUCAGAAGCCCAGUACACAUGGGAACAGUUGAGCCUUUGGAUCUUCUGUGCAGUUUCUCCUUUCUGAUAAGUUAUUCUUUUCUUGCAAAUGAUUCUCUCCCAGAUAACAAUCUGAGCAGGGAGGAAAAGAAGAAAGGGACAAUUUGUCUAUUGAGUCAAACUUCAGGCAGCAUUUGAUGUACCCUAGCCUUGGAAAAGGGCUAAAACUGCAUUUAGUUUGUGGCAAAUGUGAAUUAUCAUCUUUCUAUGUCAAGUUGUUCAUGUCUUUUGAUAACAUAGCAGGUGAUACUUACUCAGAGUAUUAAUCAUGGCAUUUAACCUACUCUGAAAGAAAACCAAAAUACCCUUAGGGAGAGCUUCCAUUACCAGGAUAUCCAAUAUUCAUUUUGCCCUAAGUGCAACCUCCAAAGAUGCAGUCCUAUUUAAAUAAUCAAUUCUUCUCAAUCACCCCACCCAACAAUGACUGGAAAUUACCCCAAAGAAAAGAAGAAUGGAAUAAUCAACUUUGAAAGAAAGCCCUUUUUAUAUUAAAAUUGGAACUAUUUUUUCUCA